GGCCAUGGACUCUGCCCUGUUUCUGGAAGGACAUGGGGCAAGUCAGCCCUGUGGACAAACAUUUCUCCUUAUCCUGUCCCAGUGCCAGCUCCACGG
This 96-nucleotide microRNA precursor is filed under the name Canis lupus familiaris (dog). RNAcentral describes it as "miRNA (ENSCAFG00030011863.1)". The record is from RNAcentral. Lineage: Eukaryota; Metazoa; Chordata; Mammalia; Carnivora; Canidae.